GAUGAAGAACGUAGCGAAAUGCGAUAAGUAAUGUGAACUGCAGAAUUCAGUGAAUCAUCGAAUCUUUGAACGCACAUUGCGCCCCUUGGUAUUCCGAGAGGCAUGCCUGUUCGAGCGUCAUUAUAACCCUUCAAGCUUAGCUUGGUGUUGGGGCCUGCUAUCAAUGGCAGCUCUUAAAAUCAGUGGCGGUGUCACUAGGCUCUAAGCAUAGUAACUUUUCUUGCUAUAGUGUCUGGUGGUCGCUAGUCAGAACCCCCUAAAUUUUUUUAUGAUUGACCUCGGAUCAGGUAGGGAUACCCGCUGAACUUAAGCAUAUCAAUAAGCGGAGGA
This 330-nucleotide unclassified non-coding RNA is filed under the name soil metagenome. RNAcentral describes it as "partial contains 5.8S ribosomal RNA, internal transcribed spacer 2, and large subunit ribosomal RNA". The stretch from base 1 to 120 matches the Rfam family "5.8S ribosomal RNA", at positions 35 to 154 of the family's 154-position model. The record is from RNAcentral.